This 1497-nucleotide ribosomal RNA is filed under the name Triticum aestivum (bread wheat). RNAcentral's name for it is "partial small subunit ribosomal RNA". The record is from RNAcentral. Lineage: Eukaryota; Viridiplantae; Streptophyta; Magnoliopsida; Poales; Poaceae.
AUGGAGAAGAGCAAGGUACCUCUGCUGGAGCCUGCUUGGCCGCCGGCGGACAUUGAUAGGCGGAGCAGCGCCGGGGGAGAUGAAGGUGAGGAGGAAGGGCUGGGACGGCGGCUGGUGGAGGAGAACAGGAAGUUGUGGGUGGUGGCGGGGCCGUCCAUCUGCACACGCUUCUCCACGUUCGGCCUCACCAUCAUCAGCCAAGCCUUCAUCGGCCACAUCGGACCCACAGAGCUCGCCGCCUACGCGCUCGUCUCCACCGUCCUCAUGCGCUUCAGCAUCGACGUCCUGAUGGGCAUGGCGAGCGCGCUUGAAACGUUAUGUGGUCAGUCGUACGGUGCCAAACAGUACCAUAUGCUAGGAAUCUACCUCCAACGCUCAUGGAUCAUCCUCUUCGCCUGCGCCGUCGCCAUGCUCUCCAUCUACCUCUUCACCUCCCCGCUCCUCGUCUUCCUCGGCCAGGACCCCGCCAUCUGCUCGGUCGCCGGCACCAUUGCCCUCUGGUACAUCCCCAUCAUGCUCUCCAGUGUCUGGUCCUACACGCUCCAGAUGUACCUGCAGGCGCAGAGCAAGAACGCCAUCAUCACCUACCUCGCCUUCCUCAACCUCGGCAUCCACCUUCUCCUCUCCUGGCUUGCCACGGCUAGGUUCGACCUCGGUCUGGCGGGGGUCAUGGGCUCCAAUAUCAUCGCCGUGUGGAUCCCUGUAUUUGGGCAGCUCGUCUUCGUCUUCUUCGGUGGAUGCCCUCAGACGUGGACAGGGUUCUCAUCGGCUGCAUUCGCCGAUCUCGGUGCCGUCUUUAAGCUCUCCAUGUCCUCUGGUGUGAUGCUUUGUUUGGAAAUGUGGUACAACACCAUAUUGGUCCUCCUGACUGGGAAUAUGAAGAAUGCACAGAUUGCACUCGACGCUCUUUCCAUAUGCCUUAACAUCAAUGGAUGGGAGCUGAUGAUUUCAGUAGGAUUUUUGGGUGCAACCGGAGUGCGAGUGGCAAAUGAGCUUGGUGCUGGAAGUGCGAGGAGGGCCAAGUUCGCCAUCGCCAAUGUGGUCGUCACUUCCUUCUUCAUCGGAUUUGUGUUGUUUGUAUUCUUCCUUUUCUUCCGCGGGAACAUCGCGUACAUGUUUACCGAGAGCCGAGCAGUAGCUAACGCGGUGGCCGACCUUUCGCCUCUCCUGGCAUUCUCUAUUCUGCUGAACAGUGUUCAACCAGUGCUACCAGGCGUUGCUGUUGGUGCGGGCUGGCAAAGUGUGGUCGCCUAUGUUAACAUCACAUCCUACUACAUGAUUGGCAUCCCACUUGGGGUAGUGCUUGGUUACAUUGUCAGAUUUCAAGUAAAGGGCAUUUGGAUUGCGAUGCUGGUAGGAACACUGGUUCAAACUGUUGUACUUGUGUACAUAACACUUGGGACUGACUGGCAAAAACAGGUAAAGAUUGCUCGUGAGAGGCUGAAGAGAUGGUACAUGGACGAGGACACAAGAUUGCAAGGUUCAGCUGGAAAAUAA